GGUUAAGCGACUAAGCGUACACGGUGGAUGCCCUGGCAGUCAGAGGCGAUGAAGGGCGUGCUAAUCUGCGAUAAGCGCCGGUAAGGUGAUAUGAACCGUUAUAACCGGCGAUACCCGAAUGGGGAAACCCAGUGUGAYUCGUCACACUAUCAUUAACUGAAUCCAUAGGUUAAUGAGGCGAACCGGGGGAACUGAAACAUCUAAGUACCCCGAGGAAAAGAAAUCAACCACC
This 232-nucleotide ribosomal RNA is filed under the name Salmonella enterica. RNAcentral's name for it is "partial 23S ribosomal RNA". The record is from RNAcentral. Lineage: Bacteria; Pseudomonadati; Pseudomonadota; Gammaproteobacteria; Enterobacterales; Enterobacteriaceae.